This 639-nucleotide ribosomal RNA is filed under the name uncultured bacterium. RNAcentral's name for it is "bacterial SSU rRNA". It matches the Rfam family "Bacterial small subunit ribosomal RNA", at positions 232 to 885 of the family's 1533-position model. The record is from RNAcentral.
CGCGGCCUAUCAGCUUGUUGGUGGGGUAAUGGCCUACCAAGGCAUCGACGGGUAGCUGGUCUGAGAGGACGAUCAGCCACACUGGGACUGAGACACGGCCCAGACUCCUACGGGAGGCAGCAGUAGGGAAUCUUGCGCAAUGGGCGAAAGCCUGACGCAGCAACGCCGCGUGGGGGAUGACGGCUCUAGGGUUGUAAACCCCUUUCAGCAGGGACGAAAAUGACGGUACCUGCAGAAGAAGCUCCGGCCAACUACGUGCCAGCAGCCGCGGUAACACGUAGGGGGCGAGCGUUGUCCGGAAUUAUUGGGCGUAAAGAGCUCGUAGGCGGUUUGGUAAGUCGGAUGUGAAAACUCAGGGCUCAACCCGGAGAGGCCAUCCGAUACUGCCAUGACUAGAGUCCGGUAGAGGAGUGUGGAAUUCCUGGUGUAGCGGUGAAAUGCGCAGAUAUCAGGAGGAACACCAACGGCGAAGGCAGCACUCUGGGCCGGUACUGACGCUGAGGAGCGAAAGCGUGGGGAGCAAACAGGAUUAGAUACCCCGGUAGUCCACGCCGUAAACGCUGGGCACUAGGUGUGGGGCCUUAUCAACGGGCUCCGUGCCGUAGCUAACGCAUUAAGUGCCCCGCCUGGGGAGUACGG